Molecule: ribosomal RNA, 453 nt
Filed under: uncultured organism
Description: partial 16S ribosomal RNA
Rfam family: Bacterial small subunit ribosomal RNA
Source: RNAcentral
UACACUCCUGCGGGAGGCAGCAGUGGGGAAUAUUGGACAAUGGGCGCAAGCCUGAUCCAGCCAUGCCGCGUGAGUGAUGAAGGCCCUAGGGUUGUAAAGCUCUUUCACCGGUGAAGAUAAUGACGGUAACCGGAGAAGAAGCCCCGGCUAACUUCGUGCCAGCAGCCGCGGUAAUACGAAGGGGGCUAGCGUUGUUCGGAUUUACUGGGCGUAAAGCGCACGUAGGCGGACUAUUAAGUCAGGGGUGAAAUCCCGGGGCUCAACCCCGGAACUGCCUUUGAUACUGGUAGUCUUGAGUUCGAGAGAGGUGAGUGGAAUUCCGAGUGUAGAGGUGAAAGUCGUAGAUAUUCGGAGGAACACCAGUGGCGAAGGCGGCUCACUGGCUCGAUACUGACGCUGAGGUGCGAAAGCGUGGGGAGCAAACAGGAUUAGAAACCCUUGUAGUCCCAUGAU